This 492-nucleotide ribosomal RNA is filed under the name uncultured bacterium. RNAcentral describes it as "partial 16S ribosomal RNA". It matches the Rfam family "Bacterial small subunit ribosomal RNA", at positions 29 to 507 of the family's 1533-position model. The record is from RNAcentral.
AGUGAACGCUGGCGGUAGGCCUAACACAUGCAAGUCGAACGGCAGCACAGUAAGAGCUUGCUCUUACGGGUGGCGAGUGGCGGACGGGUGAGGAAUACAUCGGAAUCUACUUUUUCUUGGGGGAUAACGUAGGGAAACUUACGCUAAUACCGCAUACGACCUACGGGUGAAAGCAGGGGAUCUUCGGACCUUGCGCGUUUGAAUGAGCCGAUGUCGGAUUAGCUAGUUGGCGGGGUAAAGGCCCACCAAGGCGACGAUCCGUAGCUGGUCUGAGAGGAUGAUCAGCCACACUGGAACUGAGACACGGUCCAGACUCCUACGGGAGGCAGCAGUGGGGAAUAUUGGACAAUGGGCGCAAGCAUGAUCCAGCCAUACCGCGUGGGUGAAGAAGGCCUUCGGGUUGUAAAGCCCUUUUGUUGGGAAAGAAAAGCAGCAGGUUAAUACCCCGCUGUUCUGACGGUACCCAAAGAAUAAGCACCGGCUAACUUCGUG